GUGGGUAUAGCUUAGUUGGUUAAAGCGCCAGAUUGUGGCUCUGGAGAUCGAGAGUUCGAAUCUCUUUAUCCACCCCA
Molecule: transfer RNA, 77 nt
Filed under: Peptostreptococcus stomatis
Lineage: Bacteria; Bacillati; Bacillota; Clostridia; Peptostreptococcales; Peptostreptococcaceae
Also listed under: 1 other name
Description: tRNA-His(gtg)
Rfam family: tRNA
About the family: Transfer RNA (tRNA) molecules are approximately 80 nucleotides in length. Their secondary structure includes four short double-helical elements and three loops (D, anti-codon, and T loops).
Source: RNAcentral